Molecule: RNA transcript, 2455 nt
Organism: Rhodamnia argentea
Lineage: Eukaryota; Viridiplantae; Streptophyta; Magnoliopsida; Myrtales; Myrtaceae
Gene name: cryptochrome DASH, chloroplastic/mitochondrial
Exons: 14
Source: RefSeq, a predicted model, not a curated record
ACUCACUCGACCGCGAACUGUUAACGUUAGUGGAUAACAAAAGACCACGUCACGACAAAGGUGGUGCCUACGUGUCAUUGCCCGUAUCUCUCUCUCUGAACUAUUGAUGCGUGGGGAGUGGGGCACGUGGAGCGAAAUAGGAAACGGCAUGGCCCUGUUUCGAUCGCCAGGCUCACCACUCCCACCGAGUCUCAGACUGAGACGCCUCCUCAACCCAUCAAGAUCCAAGCUUUCCUUUCGUUUCCCAACAACAAUGGCUUCUUCUUCUUCUGCUUCUGCCUCUGAACAUGCUGAAUCAAUGCCGGUAUCGGCAAAACUUUUCCACGUCCCUGCACUGAACGCCCACGAAAUGGAGCAGAUCGCAGACAAGACCAUGGACAGAUACUCCCGCAGUAACGACGCCAAGAGGAAGGGCCGAGGGACGGUGAUCGUGUGGUUCAGGAACGAUCUGAGGGUGCUCGACAACGAGGUUUUGUUCCAGGCCUGGUCUUCCUCUGAGCUCGUCUUGCCCGUUUAUUGCCUCGACCCCCGCCACUUCGCCGCCACCCAUUACUUUGGCUUCCCCAAAACUGGCGCUUUGAGGGCACAGUUUCUCAUUGAGUGUUUGGAGGACCUGAAAAGGAAUUUGGUGAAGCGGGGUCUUGACUUGCUUAUACGCCGAGGGAAACCUGAAGAGAUUCUUCCAUCCAUUGCCGAAACAUUCGGAGCACAUACGGUUUAUGCCCAGAAAGAAACUUGCAGUGAGGAGCUGGGUGUUGAAAGACGGGUUCGCAAAGGUCUGUGGCUAGUAGCAUUACCGUCAGUAUCUACAUCAAUUGAGCUCAGUGGCGCUGGUCCUUCAAUUGAUGCCAAACCACAGCAGGCCUCUGGCACCAGCUCCAAGAAGGGCCCGCGGCUGCAUCUUAUAUGGGGUAGUACUAUGUACCACAUUGAUGACCUUCCGUUUCGUACUGAUCAUUUACCUGAUGUGUAUACUCAAUUCCGUAAGCCUGUUGAAUCUAAAUGCAGGGUCCGAGAUUGCAUAAAGGCUCCGAAAUAUCUAGGGCCAGCACCUUCUACUAAUGAUUGGGGCUGUGUUCCUACGCUCAAGCAACUUGGGCUUUCUUUAGUUCAGGUCAAACUAGGGAUGAAGUUUUCUGGGGGUGAAAAUGCAGCACUGAGCAGAGUAUACGAAUACUUCUGGAAAAAGGAUUUGUUAAGUACUUACAAAAAGACUCGGAAUGGGAUGGUUGGGGCUGAUUACUCGACUAAAUUUUCUCCAUGGCUUGCUUCAGGAUGCCUUUCUCCCCGUCUUUUAUGCAAAGAGGUGAAAAGAUACGAAAAGGAAAGGGUGGCAAAUGAUUCAACAUAUUGGGUCUUGUUUGAAUUGAUUUGGAGGGAUUACUUCAGGUUUCUUUCAAUCAAAUAUGGGAAUUCCAUUUUCCAUCUGGGUGGUCCGAGGAAAGUGAAGAGCAGCUGGAGCCAAGACGAGAAACUGUUUGACUGCUGGAAAGAUGGCCGUACAGGGUAUCCUCUAAUAGAUGCAAAUAUGAAGGAACUAUCAACCACUGGAUUUAUGUCAAACAGAGGAAGACAGAUUGUAUGUUCAUUUCUUGUUCGUGAUAUGGGUCUUGACUGGCGUAUGGGAGCUGAAUGGUUCGAAACCUGUCUUCUUGAUUAUGAUCCUUGCUCUAAUUAUGGGAAUUGGACUUAUGGUGCAGGAGUUGGGAAUGACCCUAGGGAGGAUCGUUAUUUCAGCAUCCCUAAACAAGCGCAAACAUAUGAUCCUGAAGGAGAAUAUGUAGCAUUUUGGUUGCCUCAGCUGCGAGUGCUUCCAAGAGAUAAACGGCACUUUCCUGGAAGAUCAUAUAUUCAGCAGAUCUUACCCCUGAAGUUUGGGAGUGUUCCUGGACAACAUGGCACUCAGGCCAUCUCCUCUGACAGACAGAGGAAGUCUAGAAGAUAGAUGAAAGGACAUUGAAGACAAAAAGAAGGAAGUAACUGCUAGGAAAAAAGAGGCCUGUCAAACUGAUUGACAUCCUGAAGAACUGCGAAAUUUUGAGGAAGCUGAGUCUGCCAUGAUCUCUUCUCUGCAAAGAGGUUUUAUUCUUACUCAUAGCGGAAAAAGCGCCGGUUUUUCUGAAUGAAGCAGGUUAACUAUUUUUCAAAUCGAAAAUUGCAACGAAGUGAAGAGAGCAGUUUGAUUGUGCAGUUAAGAAUGUUUACUUAUCAUUUUCUGGACGAGAGGAGCAUUAAGAUGACGGAAUAUAUGUUUUGAAUACUGUAUUCAAUUGUUAUUCUGUGUUAGUCAAGAUCUAGUGUAACUUUCGCAGUAAUGACAUGCCACAGGAUGACUUACUGUGAAUGUAAGUUUGCCUGCAAAGGGAUCGAGAUCCGCAGCUACAGAGCGGAGGGUCAUUGCGCAUUAACUGAGAUACAGGGGAAUGAAAGGCGAGUGUAGCAUCAAGUUUAAGCA